RNAcentral lists this ribosomal RNA (409 nucleotides) under uncultured beta proteobacterium. RNAcentral's name for it is "bacterial SSU rRNA". It matches the Rfam family "Bacterial small subunit ribosomal RNA", at positions 9 to 423 of the family's 1533-position model. Lineage: Bacteria; Pseudomonadati; Pseudomonadota; Betaproteobacteria. The record is from RNAcentral.
GAGUUUGAUCAUGGCUCAGAUUGAACGCUGGCGGAAUGCUUUACACAUGCAAGUCGAGCGGCAGCGCGGGGCAACCUGGCGGCGAGCGGCGAACGGGUGAGUAAUGCAUCGGAACGUGUCCACGUCGUGGGGGAUAGCCCGGCGAAAGCCGGAUUAAUACCGCAUACGCCCGAGAGGGGAAAGUGGGGGACCGCAAGGCCUCACGCGAUUGGGUCGGCCGAUGUCCGAUUAGCUAGUUGCGGGGUAAAGCCCACCAAGGCGAUGAUCGGUAGCUGGUCUGAGAGGAUGAUCAGCCACACUGGGACUGAGACACGGCCCAGACUCCUACGGGAGGCAGCAGUGGGGAAUUUUGGACAAUGGGGGCAACCCUGAUCCAGCCAUUCCGCGUGAGUGAAGAAGGCCUUCGGUU